Long non-coding RNA from Podarcis raffonei (Aeolian wall lizard), 628 nucleotides. RefSeq lists it as uncharacterized. The record is from RefSeq and is a predicted model, not a curated record. Lineage: Eukaryota; Metazoa; Chordata; Lepidosauria; Squamata; Lacertidae. The transcript has 2 exons.
CUGGCCAAAGGUCUGGAUGCUGGAAUCCAGGCCGGGUUUUCACGCCUCUGCAGCCGGGCUGCUAGGUCUGGUUGUGUUGGGAGGAGGAGGAGCGGAGAAGCGCAGAGGGCGAGAGGCGCAGAAGCGGCUGCGCUUUUGCCAAGAAGGCUGGUCGCCGGCGGCAAGCGCCAGGGGUGUUCUUGCGCACUUGGGAGCGCGCGUCCGCUCCUGCUGCUGAUUCAACCCACCGAGCUGCUGCCUCCCCGGCAUCGGGAAGCUCUGGCCGGCGACAGUAGCAGCAGCAGCUGCCCAGGAGCAACUGAACCAAACUGACAGACUUCUCGGUUGAAGGAAGCAGAUGCUUAAUUCUCUCCUGCAUCCAACAGCUGCCCUGUCUUCUCAUUUGGGUGCCUGGGAAAGCUGACUCAUUUACACUUACACCCGCACGUGGACAGAGUGAAAGGAGGAAAAACUCACUGGGAGCUGCAAUUGUUUUGGUUGACACAGGCAUGCCGUAUAGAGGACCAGAGCCUGGAAGAACAGAUCUGUGCUUUGAAACAGUAUCCUGGAUCCUGCAGGGGGUUCUUCCCCAAGGUAUGCCAGAGUAAAGUGCUCCCUACUGCUCCCUGUACAUUCUGACUCAAUACAU